CCAACAGGGAUUGCCCUAGUAACGGCGAGUGAAGCGGCAACAGCUCAAAUUUGAAAUCUGGCCUCGGCCCGAGUUGUAAUUUGCAGAGGAAGCUUUAGGCGCGGCACCUUCUGAGUCCCCUGGAACGGGGCGCCAUAGAGGGUGAGAGCCCCGUAUAGUUGGAUGCCUAGCCUGUGUAAAGCUCCUUCGACGAGUCGAGUAGUUUGGGAAUGCUGCUCAAAAUGGGAGGUAAAUUUCUUCUAAAGCUAAAUACCGGCCAGAGACCGAUAGCGCACAAGUAGAGUGAUCGAAAGAUGAAAAGCACUUUGAAAAGAGGGUUAAAUAGCACGUGAAAUUGUUGAAAGGGAAGCGCUUGUGACCAGACUUGCGCCGGGCUGAUCAUCCGGUGUUCUCACCGGUGCACUCUGCCCGGCUCAGGCCAGCAUCGGUUCUCGCGGGGGGAUAAAGGCCCAGGGAACGUAGCUCCUCCGGGAGUGUUAUAGCCCUGGGUGCAAUGCCCUCGCGGGGACCGAGGUUCGCGCAUCUGCAAGGAUGCUGGCGUAAUGGUCACCAGCGACCCGUCUUGAAACACGGACCAAGGAGUCAAGGUUUUGCGCGAGUGUUUGGGUGUAAAACCCGCACGCGUAAUGAAAGUGAACGUAGGUGAGAGCUUCGGCGCAUCAUCGACCGAUCCUGAUGUUUUCGGAUGGAUUUGAGUAGGAGCGUUAAGCCUUGGACCCGAAAGAUGGUGAACUAUGCUUGGAUAGGGUGAAGCCAGAGGAAACUCUGGUGGAGGCUCGCAGCGGUUCUGACGUGCAAAUCGAUCGUCAAAUCUGAGCAUGGGGGCGAAAGACUAAUCGAACCAUCU
Molecule: ribosomal RNA, 847 nt
Filed under: Arcopilus cupreus
Lineage: Eukaryota; Fungi; Ascomycota; Sordariomycetes; Sordariales; Chaetomiaceae
Description: partial large subunit ribosomal RNA
Rfam family: Eukaryotic large subunit ribosomal RNA
Source: RNAcentral